AGGGUAAAUAGUACUGUAAACACACAAGCUGCAAGGCUACAACCAACAUAUGAAAAGUCAUAACAACACCAUUGAAACACCCACUAACACAGUAAAGUCAGGUGUAAGUGUGUUAAAUGGUCAACAGUUGUCAGUUAAGACCAUGAUGAAGAAACUACACCACUACAGAGUUACAUGAAGUACCUUCAUGUUACAGUAUGCUUAAAUAUACUUGUGAUACAAUUCUAAUGUUACCAGGACAGGUUGGAUAACUACUGGACUAACCUAAAGCUUUCUCCUUCUGUGUGCAGUCUUGGCAACACCAUCAUCGGCAGCUGUGUCUGAUCGCCCUUCAUGUUGAAUAUACUUGUGUACAGUAUAUAGUAAUGUUUGAAUAAAUGUUAUAAUAAAGA
Sander lucioperca (pikeperch) is the source of this 392-nucleotide long non-coding RNA. RefSeq lists it as uncharacterized. The record is from RefSeq and is a predicted model, not a curated record. NCBI's taxonomy places the organism in Eukaryota, Metazoa, Chordata, Actinopteri, Perciformes, Percidae. The transcript is spliced from 2 exons.